UACGUAGGGUGCGAGCGUUAAUCGGAAUUACUGGGCGUAAAGGGUGCGCAGGCGGUUUUAUAAGUCAGAUGUGAAAGUCCCGGGCUUAACCUGGGGAUUGCGUUUGAUACUGUAGGACUAGAGUGUGUCAGAGGAAGGUGGAAUUCCUGGUGUAGCAGUGAAAUGCGUAGAUAUCAGGAGGAACAUCGAUGGCGAAGGCAGCCUUCUGGGAUAACACUGACGCUCAUGCACGAAAGCGUGGGGAGCAAACAGG
RNAcentral lists this ribosomal RNA (253 nucleotides) under uncultured bacterium. RNAcentral describes it as "partial 16S ribosomal RNA". It matches the Rfam family "Bacterial small subunit ribosomal RNA", at positions 524 to 776 of the family's 1533-position model. The record is from RNAcentral.